GACGAACGCUGGCGGCGCGCUUAACACAUGCAAGUCGAGCGGGGACCGGGCCUUCGGGCCCGGGGACAGCGGCGAACGGGUGAGUAACACGUGGGUAAUCUGCCCUCGGUACUGGGAUAGCCCGGGGAAACCCGGAUUAAUACCGGAUAGCCCUUCGAGCCUUCGGGCUCGCAGGAAAAGGUAGCUUCGGCCUCCGACCGAGGAUGAGCCCGCGGGGGAUUAGCUUGUUGGUGGGGUAACGGCCUACCAAGGCGACGAUCCGUAGCUGGUCUGAGAGGACGUUCAGCCACACUGGGACUGAGACACGGCCCAGACUCCUACGGGAGGCAGCAGUGGGGAAUCUUGCCCAAUGGGCGAGAGCCUGAGGCAGCGACGCCGCGUGCGGGAAGAAGGCCCUCGGGUUGUAAACCGCUUUCAGGAGGGACGAAGCCACUCGGGUUAAUAGCCUAGAGGGUGACGGUACCUCCAGAAGAAGCCCCGGCUAACUACGUGCCAGCAGCCGCAGUAA
Molecule: ribosomal RNA, 508 nt
Filed under: uncultured bacterium
Lineage: Bacteria
Description: partial 16S ribosomal RNA
Rfam family: Bacterial small subunit ribosomal RNA
Source: RNAcentral